GGCGGCAGGCCUAACACAUGCAAGUCGAGCGGUAACAUUUCUAGCUUGCUAGAAGAUGACGAGCGGCGGACGGGUGAGUAACGCGUAGAAAUCUACCUAGCAGUGGGGGAUAGCCCAGAGAAAUUUGGAUUAAUACCGCAUACGCCCUACGGGGGAAAGCGGGGGAUCUUCGGACCUCGUGCUAUUAGAUGAGUCUGCGUCGGAUUAGCUUGUUGGUGAGGUAAUGGCUCACCAAGGCGACGAUCCGUAGCUGGUCUGAGAGGAUGACCAGCCACACUGGAACUGAGACACGGUCCAGACUCCUACGGGAGGCAGCAGUGGGGAAUAUUGCACAAUGGGCGCAAGCCUGAUGCAGCCAUGCCGCGUGUGUGAAGAAGGCCUUAGGGUUGUAAAGCACUUUCAGCAGUGAGGAAAGGGGUGUCGUUAAUAGCGCCAUCCUGUGACGUUAACUGCAGAAGAAGGACCGGCUAACUCCGUG
This 478-nucleotide ribosomal RNA is filed under the name uncultured bacterium. RNAcentral's name for it is "bacterial SSU rRNA". It matches the Rfam family "Bacterial small subunit ribosomal RNA", at positions 38 to 507 of the family's 1533-position model. The record is from RNAcentral.